Pseudopipra pipra is the source of this 1089-nucleotide long non-coding RNA. RefSeq lists it as uncharacterized. The transcript has 3 exons. The record is from RefSeq and is a predicted model, not a curated record. NCBI's taxonomy places the organism in Eukaryota, Metazoa, Chordata, Aves, Passeriformes, Pipridae.
UGCUGACAAAGCUGCUCCUGACAAAGCCCAGCGGGAGGGGGGAACUGUCUCUUUGCUCUGCCUGUCUCCCGCUGAACAAGGAUCACUUUUAAUGGGCUGAAUACAUACAACACACAGCUGACAACAAAGAUGUUCGACUAACCUAACACGAGAGGGAAACAGCAACAGCACACAGGACACUGGGAUUGCUCAGUUCGGUCCCCAGACAGAGGGAUGGGAGCAGCACCCGAGGGGCAUCUCUGGAAGAUGGAAUUAAGCCUCGGCGUGUUUGGUUUGGCCUCCUGUGUCAGUGACAUGAAAGCCUCGGCUAUAAAUACACCCCGUGUCUCCAAAGGCUUCGUGGCAUUUUCCUGCCCGUGCUCUUGGUCCCUUUGGGAAGCCGGGAGCUGGGAGGAGCACAUGAGCCGGCUCUGGCUCCAGUGAUGCCGGCAGAGCAGUUCCCAGCCUGGGACAGCCCUCAGACGAAGCCACCGGCCCCUCCAGAGCCCUGCUGGCUUGCAGAUGUUUAUCAGGGCCGAUACAGCUGCGCUGGCUCUUUGCACAGGAGGAAGGGGAGGUUCUGCAGCGAUGAGCUGAUCCCCAGCCCUGAGAACUGAGCUCGGGGGUCACGGUGGUGCUGAACCCCAAAGGGCUUUGGCACUGCUCAUUCCAGGAGCUCCCAAACACCUCCAGGGCCUGCUGGCUGCAGACACUCCACCGAGGCCCUCCCCGGGGCCAGGGUGCCCGGCUUGUCCCGCCGACGUUCCCGCAGUGGCCCGGGCAGUGUUCCACGGAGCGCCCACGGGGUAAACACGGACACAGACACAGUAGCAGCCCAGUAAUUACGGCCCUAAUUCAGCAAAGCAUCCCCACUUGUAAGGCACCUAAGCAUGUGCUUAAAGCUAAUUACAUGCUUAAAGAUCUUUCCUGAAUAAGCAUGGAUUUGAGGCUGUGUUUGGUACCUCCCGUACUUAACUGUGAUUCAGCCAAACACCUCCCCUGCAACCCAAACCCGUCGGGAAGUGAUUUCGGAGCCCGGCUCCAGCGCUGGAAACCAAACAUCCCUGCGCCUCUCUCUGCAGGCUCGCUUUGUAGAUAUGAAAAUAAAUA